ACAGGAUGCAAGGAUUUCAGACAGGUAUCUGGAGCUGCAGGUAAAAGUUAGUUCCUAGUUUCUCUCUCUCUAAAUUUCUCUCUUGAGUCAAAGUCUGGUUCUAUUGCAGGAUCAGUGACCAAGAUUGGACAGGCUUCCAUGAAUCAAAACUUAAUGGUGGUUGCCACCAAGUUCUGUUCACUUUUUUUUUACCUAUAUCCAAGAGUUCUUUGCGAAAGCGAGCCUUGAAGAUUGCCGCCUCCAAGUCCAGUUUCGAACUCUUUUAUUUGAGUCUUUAUGAAUCAAGCCUUAAUGGUUUUAGCCACCAAGUCAUGUUCAGACUCAUCCUAAUUAAACUAUAGAUCUUAUUUAUUUUUUUAUUAUUUUAUUUUAUUAUUAUUAUUUUUUUUUAAUACCCACUAACUAAUCUAGGGUCGAAAUCUAGAGAGAGAAAAUGUGAUAAAUAAUCUAAACCAGGCGUUACCUUCCAGACCUGUCUAAAGAAUCCGAUCCCAUGUAUACCAAGCCCCAAGCCUAGCGGUUAUGUCAGGUUUAGUGUUGGAAAUCAGCUUUGGUUACUUCAUACGGUUCAAGGCAAGUGCGUAGUUGAUAGGUUGAUCCGCUUUAGCAUCUUUAGUGCUAUCUGCAAUCAGUAAAUCUAAAAUGGUGCUAAAGAUUAGUUAGAUAUUCAUGUUUAAAUCAAUAUAAGAUUAUAGUCCCUAUUUUCAAUAGCUAAGCAUAAUUUAUUUGAAAUUCCUUUUUACGUAAGAAUAAAAUAAAUUAUAUCAGUAAAUCUCCCCCCAGACUUAAAUUACACUGUCCCAGUGUAACUCAGCCGGAGUUAUGAUAAAAAUUUUAUGAUGUUCGAAAUGUAACAAGUAGGGA
Molecule: long non-coding RNA, 864 nt
Filed under: Brassica rapa (field mustard)
Lineage: Eukaryota; Viridiplantae; Streptophyta; Magnoliopsida; Brassicales; Brassicaceae
Description: long non-coding RNA (BRAP_LNC006867)
Source: RNAcentral